UACUGAUCCUGAGAAUUGUCAUAAUAAAAUGUCCUAAAUGAGGGCAUAUAUACAUACUGAUGUGUGGCACACAAAACAGAACUCUGUUAAUCUAUAAGAAAAAAUCAAGCAUGUCAUGGAAUAUUCACAAAAAAUAUAUAUAUUUUUACAAAUUUCAAGACUUAUUUUUACUACCUUACAAUAGAAUCUGCAGAUGCACAAA
RNAcentral lists this unclassified non-coding RNA (202 nucleotides) under Hevea brasiliensis (rubber tree). Lineage: Eukaryota; Viridiplantae; Streptophyta; Magnoliopsida; Malpighiales; Euphorbiaceae. The record is from RNAcentral.